RNAcentral lists this unclassified non-coding RNA (205 nucleotides) under soil metagenome. RNAcentral describes it as "partial contains 5.8S ribosomal RNA, internal transcribed spacer 2, and large subunit ribosomal RNA". The record is from RNAcentral.
AACAAGGCGUACCUGCGGACCUGCGGAGGGAUCAUUACCGAGUUUACAACUCCCAAACCCCUGUGAACAUACCUAUACGUUGCCUCGGCGGAUCAGCCCGCGCCCUGUAAAACGGGACGGCCCGCCCGAGGACCCCUAAACUCUGUUUUUAGUGGAACUUCUGAGUAAAACAAACAAAUAAAUCAAAACUUUCAACAACGGAUCU